This 645-nucleotide ribosomal RNA is filed under the name Olethrodotis modesta. RNAcentral's name for it is "eukaryotic LSU rRNA". It matches the Rfam family "Eukaryotic large subunit ribosomal RNA", at positions 420 to 799 of the family's 3401-position model. The record is from RNAcentral. Lineage: Eukaryota; Metazoa; Arthropoda; Insecta; Hymenoptera; Ichneumonidae.
CCUGAGAAACCCAAAAGAUCGAAUGGGGAGAUUCAUCGUCAGCGAUCCUGGCACUUGUGCGGUUCGUGAUGCCGGAGACUUCGCGGUUUUAUGGCACGCGUCCGUGUACGGUUUUUUUGCCGGGUGUCGUCGGCGUGCACUUCUCCUCUAGUAGGACGUCGCGACCCGUUGAGUGUCGGUCUACGGCCCGGGUGGGCGCCUGUCAUGUUGCAAGCUUCACGGCGCGUAAUGUGGCAGACCCCCGGUUGUCUGACCAGCUGCUCGGCGGUACGCGCACGGUAUCGAGUCGCAAAUAUUUGAACUGCGUCCGGCCCGCGGCAAGCGAGGCCAGUGUCUCCGGAUGUACGGACCUGGCGCCGUCACCGGGCCUGGCCAGUUGUUGGCAAUGGCGGUGUCCUGGGACAGGCUCUGAAUUAUUAUGAUACCGGUCGGCGACGCUACUGCUUUGGGUACUUUCAGGACCCGUCUUGAAACACGGACCAAGGAGUCUAACAUGUGCGCGAGUCAUUGGGACAUUAUAAGCCUAAAGGCGCAAUGAAAGUGAAGGUCGGCCUCGCGCCGACCGAGGGAGGAUGGGCCGCGUCACGAUGCGGUCCCGCACUCCCGGGGCGUCUCGUUCACAUUGCGAGAAGAGGCGCACCCAGA